ACAUGAUUCAUCCUUUCUGCAGGCAUGAGUCACUCUAAUGGAGGUGGGAGAACAGGAGGCGUGGUGGGAGGCCCAACCCGGACAAGCCAUAUCCACGUUCACAAGGGCCCCUUGGAACCUGAGGAUCCAUGUCCCACAUGGCCUUCCCUUUUUUUGCACCAGAUAUACUUUCUCUCCCCUGACCAAGAUGGGGCAGUUCCCUGGGAAAUCACUCCAGAGCUGCCCACACUGCAGAAUACAGGUCCCUUGUGUCACAGCCUGGUUGCUCACUGAACACUGCCCAUUGGAAAGACCCAAGGCCCUAACACAAACUGGCUAGUGCUAGAGGAGAAGGCCACACCUGUUGGGCAGAAACAAUAUUCAGGGACUAGGGUUGUCGAUUAAUGGCAAAGCAUUAAUGCUGGGUUCAAUCUUCUGCACCACAUAAAAAAUAAAUAAAUCAAAUAAAGGUAUUGUGUCUAUCUACAAAGAAAAAAAGAAACAAUACUCAGAACCCUUAGCUUGGCCUAUCUUUACCCAGUGUUCCCCUGACUGCCCAGUCUCUGGCCCACAGAGAAGGGACACUGGACUGAGUCAGAGGUGGAAUUAGAAUCCUUUCUCUGUCAGCAAACCCUCCUGGUGAUAUGUGUCACUAUAGCCCUUAUUGUUCAGCCUGUCUCUUGGACUUAUUCCACUCCCAUGUUGUACUUCUUCAAGUGUGUGGUCUGCUUCAAGAUAUUGCACACUGUGCAUAAUCUAAGUGAUUAUGAAGCAACUCAUGUCUCUCAAGAGAGUACCCCCAUGAGAACAGUGAUUUUGACAGGAUGAGAUAAGAGUUUUUCCAUAAUAAUUUGGUAGAUUAAGGGAUUCAGCCUACUGAACUGAGGAGACUAAAAUGCAUCUGAAAUUUUUAUUUGUAGGGAUCUGAAUUUAUUUUAUCAACAAGUCUGGUCCUUUGGGGGCUAAACUUUCCAUUUGUCAUGGAAGUACCUGGGCCAUAGCUUGGCUCCAAAAUUGGAAGAAGACCAGCUUCCCAAAAUGAACAUCCUAAAUCAAAUUACCUCCUCUGAGUUUCCUAUUGAUUUAUACAGUGACAGGAUUAACUCAAUCAUAGGUGAACCAACCCUUUGCAUUGUGAUAAGAUCUGUAAUAAAACUUGGCUCGUCUUCCUGCAGGGAGGGGAUUUAUUACUCACUUGAGCUCCCACUCUCCAGAUGGCCCUGGCCACCCUGCUCAGUUCUGGGGCCAGGGGAGCCUACUGUUUUCCUGGAUUAAGGUCAGCCAGACUGAGAAGGGACAGACAUGGACCAGAAAGGUGACUGGAGCCUAGCUGUAUCUCAGAAGUUAGAAAAUGUUAAUAGAGAGAUGUGAUACUUAUACAGCAUCUUUCCAAACCAGAAGGUAGGAGUCUUCACCAGGAGUAUUAAAACUGUAUUCUCGUGCCCAUGGCUGACCUUUUACAGAAAUUACAGGAUUGCCCUGCCUGGAUCCAGCAUCACCCAUUCAGCCAAGACCAGUGGAGAGCAAAGAAUCAAAUUCUGUUCCAAAACAACUUGUGGGGUGUUUUGGAACAGAAUUUGAUUCAGAAUUACCUCCACUUAGGCAAUAGACAGUUGACUGACAUAUUGCAGUUUGGAGAAUGUGCUAGGUUCAGCGGCCAGUGUCUGAUAGGCAUCCACCUUUAGGAUAUCAGAGAAGAGCAUGCAUUCAAAACCCAGCUUCACCAUGCUCCUUACUUGUGUUCAACCUCAGGUGAGUUAAGCACUUCUGUGUCCUAUGCUAUAAAUGGCAGUGAUGUUGCUGUCCCUGUGCAGGGGCACUGUGAGGAUAAUAGGAGCUGACUGACCCAGAACUAACCCAGAACUUGGUGCCAGCAAACACUUCAGAAAUGGGAGCAACAGUGACCACUGCCCCAGCUGAGCACCUGGAACUCCCCAGUGGGAUGGAGUGGUUGGGGCUAUGUGCUGUGUCUUUCUGCAUUGCUCACAGGCAUCUCUGUAUACUGACCUCCAUCCAUGCUAAAUCUCUCCACCUUUAACGUCCUGAAGUCCAGAACAUCUUUUAAUUGGUGUUUUGCAUUCACUGCUGAUUGGGAUUCAAAUUGAGUUCUCCAGGGAGGGUUUGUGUUUGCUUCUGCCAGUGAUGUGGUGGCACCAGCUUUUGGGACUCCUUGAGGACCACUUGUAUAUUGAGACCUCAGGCUGAGAACCAGCUUCGGGUUCCAGUGAUAGUGCAGGGAUUUUCUCCCUAAUUCUCUCCUCCUCCACCAGGGUGAAGGAGGAGGCCAGACCGUUCCUUGUCAUUUCUUUCUUUAUAGUGGGUUUAUUUCUCAUUUUCUUCUACACUGAGAGUGUAGCUUUUCAUGGUCCCAGCUUUAUUGAGGGGUCUCCUGUGACACUUCCUAUUCUUAGACAUUUUUUUUUUCUUUCUUAGUGAUGCAUUAAAUAAUGAUGUACUUUCCAAUCAAGAGUAUCUCAAAUUUGAUGUCAUAGUAUCAAUGCCUUCAAAACAUAUCACAAUAAAGAUAACUAUUGAACUCUCUCAAAUGUAUUUGCCUUUUUAAUUUUAACCCCUUGUGGCAUCUAUUAACAUCCUACAGGGCUGGGGAUGU
This 2590-nucleotide long non-coding RNA is filed under the name Marmota monax (woodchuck). Lineage: Eukaryota; Metazoa; Chordata; Mammalia; Rodentia; Sciuridae. The record is from RNAcentral.